RNAcentral lists this unclassified non-coding RNA (200 nucleotides) under soil metagenome. RNAcentral describes it as "partial contains internal transcribed spacer 2 and large subunit ribosomal RNA". The record is from RNAcentral.
UUUACACCCUCAAGCGCUGCUUGGUGUUGGGGCGUCUGUCCCGCCUCACGGGCGCGGACUCGCCUCAAAGUCAUUGGCGGCCGGUACGUAGGCUUCGAGCGCAGCGCAAUCGCGUCUCGAGGCCUGCCGUACCCGCGUCCACAAGGCAAAAGUCUAACCGUCUUGACCUCGGAUCAGGUAGGGAUACCCGCUGAACUUAA